This 29-nucleotide small RNA is filed under the name Bombyx mori (domestic silkworm). Its description in RNAcentral is "ovarian small RNA-24632". The record is from RNAcentral. Lineage: Eukaryota; Metazoa; Arthropoda; Insecta; Lepidoptera; Bombycidae.
UCAACGUCCUCGACAGGGCUCGGCGCCUU